This 253-nucleotide ribosomal RNA is filed under the name uncultured bacterium. RNAcentral's name for it is "partial 16S ribosomal RNA". It matches the Rfam family "Bacterial small subunit ribosomal RNA", at positions 524 to 776 of the family's 1533-position model. The record is from RNAcentral.
UACAGAGGGUGCAAGCGUUGUUCGGAAUUAUUGGGCGUAAAGGGCGCGUAGGCGGUGCCACAAGUCACCUGUGAAAUCUCCGGGCUUAACUCGGAGCCUGCAGGCGAAACUGUGGUGCUGGAGUGUGGGAGAGGUGCGUGGAAUUCCGAGUGUAGAGGUGAAAUUCGUAGAUAUUCGGAGGAACACCAGUGGCGAAGGCGGCUCACUGGUCCGGUACUGACGCUGAGGUGCGAAAGCGUGGGGAGCAAACAGG